AAACCAACAGGGAUUGCCUUAGUAGCGGCGAGUGAAGCGGCAAUAGCUCAAAUUUGAAAUCUGGUACCUUCGGUACCCGAGUUGUAAUUUGAAGAAGGUAUCUUUGGUUUUGGCUCUUGUCUAUGUUCCUUGGAACAGGACGUCACAGAGGGUGAGAAUCCCGUGCGAUGAGAUGCCCAAUUCCAUGUAAAGUUCCUUCGACGAGUCGAGUUGUUUGGGAAUGCAGCUCUAAGUGGGUGGUAAAUUCCAUCUAAAGCUAAAUAUUGGCGAGAGACCGAUAGCGAACAAGUACUGUGAAGGAAAGAUGAAAAGAACUUUGAAAAGAGAGUGAAAAAGUACGUGAAAUUGUUGAAAGGGAAGGGCUUGAGAUUAGACUUGGAAUUUUUCCAGCGAUGGAAGCUUUCCGGGCCAGCAUCAGUUUGGAUGGCAGGAUAAUAGCGUUGGAAAGUAUUACUUCGGUUUGUUAUAGACUUCGCUGAUACUGCCUAUCUAGACUGAGGACCGCGUCUUUGACUAGGAUGCUGGCGUAAUGAUCUUAAGCCGC
This 544-nucleotide ribosomal RNA is filed under the name Yamadazyma buinensis. Its description in RNAcentral is "eukaryotic LSU rRNA". It matches the Rfam family "Eukaryotic large subunit ribosomal RNA", at positions 62 to 648 of the family's 3401-position model. Lineage: Eukaryota; Fungi; Ascomycota; Pichiomycetes; Serinales; Debaryomycetaceae. The record is from RNAcentral.